UACGAAGGGGGGCGAGCGUUGUUCGGAUUUACUGGGCGUAAAGGGCGCGUAGGCGGCCCUCCUAGUCGCGUGUGAAAUCCCCGGGCUCAACCUGGGAACUGCGUUUGUGACUGUAUGACUAGAGUACGGUAGAGAGGGGUGGAAUUCCUGGUGUAGCAGUGAAAUGCGUAGAUAUCAGGAGGAACAUCGAUGGCGAAGGCAGCCCCUUGGACCUGUACUGACGCUCAUGCACGAAAGCGUGGGGAGCAAACAGG
RNAcentral lists this ribosomal RNA (254 nucleotides) under uncultured bacterium. Its description in RNAcentral is "partial 16S ribosomal RNA". It matches the Rfam family "Bacterial small subunit ribosomal RNA", at positions 524 to 776 of the family's 1533-position model. The record is from RNAcentral.